This 496-nucleotide ribosomal RNA is filed under the name uncultured bacterium. Its description in RNAcentral is "partial 16S ribosomal RNA". It matches the Rfam family "Bacterial small subunit ribosomal RNA", at positions 29 to 507 of the family's 1533-position model. The record is from RNAcentral.
AUGAACGCUGGCGGCGUGCCUAAUACAUGCAAGUCGAGCGAACGGACGAGAAGCUUGCUUCUCUGAUGUUAGCGGCGGACGGGUGAGUAACACGUGGAUAACCUACCUAUAAGACUGGGAUAACUUCGGGAAACCGGAGCUAAUACCGGAUAAUAUUUUGAACCGCAUGGUUCAAAAGUGAAAGACGGUCUUGCUGUCACUUAUAGAUGGAUCCGCGCUGCAUUAGCUAGUUGGUAAGGUAACGGCUUACCAAGGCAACGAUGCAUAGCCGACCUGAGAGGGUGAUCGGCCACACUGGAACUGAGACACGGACCAGACUCCUACGGGAGGCAGCAGUAGGGAAUCUUCCGCAAUGGGCGAAAGCCUGACGGAGCAACGCCGCGUGAGUGAUGAAGGUCUUCGGAUCGUAAAACUCUGUUAUUAGGGAAGAACAUAUGUGUAAGUAAAUGUGCACAUCUUGACGGUACCUAAUCAGAAAGCAACGGCUAACUACGUG